Molecule: long non-coding RNA, 1808 nt
Organism: Phascolarctos cinereus (koala)
Lineage: Eukaryota; Metazoa; Chordata; Mammalia; Diprotodontia; Phascolarctidae
Source: RefSeq, a predicted model, not a curated record
CACUCCCCAAAGGAUACAAAGACAGCCAUUCUUUCACAUCUUCACGGUCCUGGGACCUGCCUCCACACUCCAAAACAGACUGGUUUGACAUAUUUGAGUCAUGGAACCUUAGAAGGGACCUUUGAGACCAUCUAGUUCAAGCCUGAGAGUCUUUUUAUUACUACCAGGGAUUUAUGGAGCUCCAAUUUUACCUUUAUCAUACCAUGACAGAUGAGAAAACUGAGGCUGAAAGAGAUUACGUGAAUUGCUCAGGGUCCCACGGCUACUAUCUGAGGCUGCAUAUGAAUUCAAAUUUUAUUGACUCCAAGAUCAACACUCUAUCUCCCAUGCCACUUAAGUAAUUGAGAAUAAGUACUACAGGUUUUGGAUUUAUUUAUCGCUGUGAUCUAGCCUCUCUGGGCUUCAUGAAGAGUUAGAUUUUGGUAUUGUGCAAAUACAAAGAAAUAGCAAAAAAUUAUUACGUAUGAUUUUUGUGCAUGCAGUGCCAUAGCCAAAGGGAUAUGCUGCUGACAGCUAUAACAAUGGCUAGCAUUUCUAUAGUGCUUCAAGUUUUGCAAAAUGCUCUGACACAUCUCAUUUAAGUCUCAUAAACACCCAGUGAGGUAGCUAGUUACUCAGGGCAUUGUUGUUCCCAUUUCAUAGAUGAGGAAACCGAGUCUCAAAGUGGGGGUGGUGGUAAAGUGAUUUGUUUGUGGUGGUAGAGCUAGAAAGUAUCAGAGAUGGGAUUCAGACUCAGGAAAGAACAUUGGUUUUCUGCAGUCAGAAGAUCUGGAUUUAAUUCCCACCUUUGGCAUUGAGUAUAACCUCAGUAAAGUAAAUUUAACCUUCCUGAGCCUCAGUUUCUACAAUGAGAGGUUGAGCUAGAAGACCGCUGAGGUCUUUUCUACCACUUAAACUUAAGAUCCCAUGACUCAGAAUUUAGCAUUAUUCUCUAAAUCCCUGGGUCAGAGCCUUUCUACAGUUCAGUUGUACAUAAAAAGCAUUGGAACUUCAGGUAAAUAGGUUGUGUUAACAGGUGGUCUGGACCAGCGGCAGUGACUUUCUUGCCCAAUACCCUAAUGUAGAGGCCUGCAGCAUAUCAAGGCCACUCCCAGAGCCUGGAAACAGAAUCAUCCUGAGUGAAAUACUAGCUCAGAAUUGGGACUAUGAGCCAGAAGAUGUGAGGAUGCUGACAGGCAAUUUGGGAUGUUCAUAACCUCAGGAUGUCCUAAGAGAAGUGCCAGGUCCAGAAGGCCAGUGACUGAGCUUACUUAUGGCACUAUAGAAAGAAAAAAGAAGCUUCUUCAGGUAGUUGAGCUAUACUCAUUGUUGGACAGCAUUUAUACUUUGUAUGUAACUGCCAUAGAUGCUACUCUGAUGCAUACAACUUAGAGGUUUGAUAUGAAAAUGCUUCUCUUGUCAUGUUAAACAUUGUUAUAAAUGGUAGCAUACAGUGUCAUGCAUGUGUUAUAAUAUAGGUAUGGAAUGCAUUUCUGCAUGCGCACUGUGGAUUUGGUCACUAUACAACUCAAUUAUGCAAUAUCAUGUUUAAUAUUGUCUUGAGGUGUAUUAGAAUUUAAUAAUGCUAUAUUGUCCUAUAUGCUGUUGAUUCUAUGAUAUAUGCAUUAUGUUUGUCCGUGCUCUAAUACUAGUUGAAUGCAGUACUAAUGUGACUGCCGUGUCUUAGAUACCUGCAUAUAUGUUAUGUUACUUAAUGUAGCUUGGAAGAUAUAGUUCAGCUCUUAGGCACUUCCACAAAGUCUUACUCCAAUGUUUCAUGGUGGCAUGGAGAUAACCUUUCCACAGGCAAAUAAAGGCACUGAGACUCA